This 1217-nucleotide long non-coding RNA is filed under the name Chloebia gouldiae (Gouldian finch). RNAcentral's name for it is "Erythrura gouldiae (Gouldian finch) lncRNA (ENSEGOG00005003765.1)". Lineage: Eukaryota; Metazoa; Chordata; Aves; Passeriformes; Passeridae. The record is from RNAcentral.
CGGGGAUCCCGGCCCCGCGUGCGCGUGACGUCGCCGCGUCUCGCGCCGCUCCGGGCCGGCGGCGGCCCCGGUGAGUGCGGGGAGGACACCGGGGACAGCGACCCGGCCCGGCCCGGGUACCGCCCCCGCCGUUUGUCCCCCCGGGUGACAGCGGCCGGGCUGCGCGGCGGGCGGUCCCCGGUACCGGCGGGCGGUGCCUGGUACCGGCUCGGGACUCGGUGGGUGGCGCGGGCGAAGCGAACGGAGCGCGGAGCGGCGGAGGAUGCUCGACACCUCCCUGUGCCAGGCCCCGCUGGCUGCUCCGACUUGGUUUUGGGAGGCGAGGCCAUGCUGCUCCCUCCUGCUCAGGCGCCAAGCAACGGCUCUGACCACCCACAUUCCCGCAAGGGAAUAUUUCUGCAGUUUUGUGAGGGAGGAGCUGUGUUUGCAUCAAUCGUGGUGAGUGAACAGGCGUGUGCAACCCUCAGCUCCCCUCGCCCACUGCCCCUCUGCCAUGGGGAUCCCCAGGACAUACUCUGGAUGAGGGCUGAGAGUUGGAGUGACUUGAUCAGAAGCAUGGACAAGAAUCACAGAAUUGUCACAAAAUCGUGGAAUAGUUUGAGUUGGAAGGGAUCUUAAAGGUGCUCUAGCCCCCUUCCAUGGGCAGGGACACCUUCCACUAGACCUGGUUGCUCAGAGCUUCAUCCAGCCUGGCCUUGGACACUUCCAGGGAUGGGGCAGCCACAGUUCCCUGGGCAAGAGGAGCUGAGGGAGAGCUCAGUGCUUUCCCUGCGCCCCAUCCUCCAGCAGGACAGUGGAGUCACCGGUCAGGGCACAAGGGGAACCAACGUGGGAGUGUCACCAUCAGUGGACCUGUGCUGGCUUUGCCUUUGUCCCCCUGAGGCAGCAACUGCAGAGUAAUUAAGAAAGGGUGAUGCUCUGUGGGUUAAUUAAAAGUCAGGAGCUCCCUCUGAAGUGCAGAGCUUGUGUCCCAUUUCAGCACAAGCGUUUCUGACAUGCUGGAGCCUUGCUGCUGUGCAGGGACACAGUGCCAGGUGCUGGGGAGUGGGUAGGUGCCUCCAGCCCUGUGUCCUGUCAGCAGCCUUCCCCUUGGGAAUUCCAUAAUUAAUCUGCCACUCUGAGCUGAAGGCCAUGUCUCUGUGAGGUUGGCAGGGUGAAUGCUGAGGUUUCCUUCCCCCGACAAUAAAAUGUUGUUGCUAUGCUUGGUACGAGGGAUG